UAAAGUCUUUAGCGACAUUGGUUCUAAUGGCACUUAACUAAUGCCGGUAAAGACUUUAAC
This 60-nucleotide microRNA precursor is filed under the name Solanum tuberosum (potato). RNAcentral's name for it is "miR7983 stem-loop (stu-MIR7983)". The record is from miRBase by way of RNAcentral. Lineage: Eukaryota; Viridiplantae; Streptophyta; Magnoliopsida; Solanales; Solanaceae.